Molecule: ribosomal RNA, 497 nt
Filed under: uncultured bacterium
Lineage: Bacteria
Description: bacterial SSU rRNA
Rfam family: Bacterial small subunit ribosomal RNA
Source: RNAcentral
GCUACGCUGGCGGCGUGUCUUAGCCAUGCAAGUCGAGCGGACUUAUGGGGUAACUUAUAAGUCAGCGGCGGACGGCGGAGUAACACGUAGCUAACCUACCCUCUGGACGGGGAUAACCUACCGAAAAGGUGGGCUAAUACCCGAUGUAGUCAUCCUGUAUAGGGGUGAUGAAAGGUGGGCUUCUGUUUACAAGCUCAUGCUGGAGGAGGGGGCUGCGGCCUAUCAGGUAGUUGGUAGGGUAAUAGCCUACCAAGCCGAUGACGGGUAGCCGGCCUGAGAGGGUGACCGGCCCGAGGGGCACUGAGAUACGGGUCCCACUCCUACGGGAGGCAGCAGGCUAGAAAUUUGGGCAAUGGGGGAAACCCUGACCCAGUGACGCCGCGUGCAGGAAGGAGCCCUUCGGGGUGUAAACUGCUGUCGUGUAGGGAGAAGGGUACUAAGGUGAACAAUCUUAGUACUUGACGGUACUACAGGAGGAAGCCCAGGCUAACCUCGUG